UCCUGACUGACCGAUAGUGAACCAGUACCGUGAGGGAAAGGCGAAAAGAACCCCGGCGAGGGGAGUGAAAAAGAACCUGAAACCGUGUACGUACAAGCAGUGGGAGCCUCUUAAUGGGGUGACUGCGUACCUUUUGUAUAAUGGGUCAGCGACUUAUAUUCUGUAGCAAGGUUAACCGAAUAGGGGAGCCGAAGGGAAACCGAGUCUUAACUGGGCGUUAAGUUGCAGGGUAUAGACCCGAAACCCGGUGAUCUAGCCAUGGGCAGGUUGAAGGUUGGGUAACACUAACUGGAGGACCGAACCGACUAAUGUUGAAAAAUUAGCGGAUGACUUGUGGCUGGGGGUGAAAGGCCAAUCAAACCGGGAGAUAGCUGGUUCUCCCCGAAAGCUAUUUAGGUAGCGCCUCGUGAAUUCAUCUCCGGGGGUAGAGCACUGUUUCGGCAAGGGGGUCAUCCCGACUUACCAACCCGAUGCAAACUGCGAAUACCGGAGAAUGUUAUCACGGGAGACACACGGCGGGUGCUAACGUCCGUCGUGAAGAGGGAAACAACCCAGACCGCCAGCUAAGGUCCCAAAGUCAUGGUUAAGUGGGAAACGAUGUGGGAAGGCCCAGACAGCCAGGAUGUUGGCUUAGAAGCAGCCAUCAUUUAAAGAAAGCGUAAUAGCUCACUGGUCGAGUCGGCCUGCGCGGAAGAUGUAACGGGGCUAAACCAUGCACCGAAGCUGCGGCAGCGACACUAUGUGUUGUUGGGUAGGGGAGCGUUCUGUAAGCCUGUGAAGGUGGCCUGUGAGGGUUGCUGGAGGUAUCAGAAGUGCGAAUGCUGACAUAAGUAACGAUAAAGCGGGUGAAAAGCCCGCUCGCCGGAAGACCAAGGGUUCCUGUCCAACGUUAAUCGGGGCAGGGUGAGUCGACCCCUAAGGCGAGGCCGAAAGGCGUAGUCGAUGGGAAACAGGUUAAUAUUCCUGUACUUGGUGUUACUGCGAAGGGGGGACGGAGAAGGCUAUGUUGGCCGGGCGACGGUUGUCCCGGUUUAAGCGUGUAGGCUGGUUUUCCAGGCAAAUCCGGAAAACCAAGGCUGAGGCGUGAUGACGAGGCACUACGGUGCUGAAGCGACAAAUGCCCUGCUUCCAGGAAAAGCCUCUAAGCAUCAGGUAACAUCAAAUCGUACCCCAAACCGACACAGGUGGUCAGGUAGAGAAUACCAAGGCGCUUGAGAGAACUCGGGUGAAGGAACUAGGCAAAAUGGUGCCGUAACUUCGGGAGAAGGCACGCUGAUAUGUAGGUGAAGCGACUUGCUCGUGGAGCUGAAAUCAGUCGAAGAUACCAGCUGGCUGCAACUGUUUAUUAAAAACACAGCACUGUGCAAACACGAAAGUGGACGUAUACGGUGUGACGCCUGCCCGGUGCCGGAAG
Molecule: ribosomal RNA, 1414 nt
Filed under: Escherichia coli
Lineage: Bacteria; Pseudomonadati; Pseudomonadota; Gammaproteobacteria; Enterobacterales; Enterobacteriaceae
Description: partial 23S ribosomal RNA
Rfam family: Bacterial large subunit ribosomal RNA
Source: RNAcentral